AAUCUUUUCAGAGCCAGUAUCAAAGGCUGCGUGAGGCUCAGUAUUUGGGACAUCUCAUUGCAGCCGCAGUCCCAACGUGGGGCGAGGAAAGUGCUGUACAAACUCACGUUCUACCCAAGAGUGGGAGGAAUUUAAUCUUCAUAAAGAAAGAAGAGUUUGGAGUCCGCAUCUGGAUUGGCAACCAGUGUACAGUGUUCUGCUCCCUGAAAUUGAUAACUGGUGCUCCAUGCUUUACUGUAUACUCUAUCAUGACAGCAAUAAAAGUUUCAACAUAUGAAUCUA
Long non-coding RNA from Suricata suricatta (meerkat), 282 nucleotides. RefSeq lists it as uncharacterized. Lineage: Eukaryota; Metazoa; Chordata; Mammalia; Carnivora; Herpestidae. The record is from RefSeq and is a predicted model, not a curated record. The transcript is spliced from 3 exons.